This 165-nucleotide ribosomal RNA is filed under the name Herpotrichiellaceae sp. RNAcentral's name for it is "partial large subunit ribosomal RNA". It matches the Rfam family "Eukaryotic large subunit ribosomal RNA", at positions 99 to 261 of the family's 3401-position model. Lineage: Eukaryota; Fungi; Ascomycota; Eurotiomycetes; Chaetothyriales; Herpotrichiellaceae. The record is from RNAcentral.
CGGUAAUAGCUCAAAUUUGAAAUCUGGCUUCUUUGGAGCCCGAGUUGUAAUUUGUAGAGGCACUUUCGGGCACCGCCCCCAUUUAAAUUUCUUGGAACAGAAUGUCAAAGAGGGUGAGAAUCCCGUCUUGAAUGGGUGGUAGGGUCCAUGUGAAAGUCCUUCGAC